This 468-nucleotide ribosomal RNA is filed under the name uncultured bacterium. RNAcentral's name for it is "partial 16S ribosomal RNA". It matches the Rfam family "Bacterial small subunit ribosomal RNA", at positions 28 to 507 of the family's 1533-position model. The record is from RNAcentral.
GACGAACGCUGGCGGCGUGCUUAACACAUGCAAGUCGAACGGCAAGGCCCUGCUUUUGUGGGGUGCUCGAGUGGCGAACGGGUGAGUAACACGUGAGUAACCUGCCCUUGACUUUGGGAUAACUUCAGGAAACUGGGGCUAAUACCGGAUAGGAGCUCCUGCUGCAUGGUGGGGGUUGGAAAGUUUCGGCGGUUGGGGAUGGACGCGCGGCUUAUCAGCUUGUUUGUGGGGUAGUGGCUUACCAAGGCUUCGACGGGUAGCCGGCCUGCGAGGGUGACCGGCCACAUUGGGACUGAGAUACGGCCCAGACUCCUACGGGAGGCAGCAGUGGGGAAUAUUGCACAAUGGGCGGAAGCCUGAUGCAGCAACGCCGCGUGCGGGAUGACGGCCUUCGGGUUGUAAACCGCUUUCGCCUGUGACGAAGCGUGAGUGACGGUAAUUGGUAAAGAAGCACCGGCUAACUACGUG